AUCUACUGCCACACCACCCUGAACCCGCCCGAUGUUGUCUGAUCUCGGAAGCUAAGCAGGGGCAGGCCUGCUUAGUGCUUGGAUGGGAGACCGCUUGGGAAUACCGGGUGCUGUAGGUU
Ribosomal RNA from Colobus angolensis palliatus, 119 nucleotides. Lineage: Eukaryota; Metazoa; Chordata; Mammalia; Primates; Cercopithecidae. The record is from Ensembl.